AGAGUUUGAUCCUGGCUCAGAAUGAACGCUGGCGGCGUGCUUUACACAUGCAAGUUGAGCGAGGCCGGUAGCAAUACCGAGUCGAGCGGCGAACGGGUGAGUAACGCGUGGAUAACCUGCCCUGAGGUGGGGAAUAACCCGGGGAAACUCGGGCUAAUACCGCAUGAUACCGAGAGGUCAAAGAGGGCUCGCAAGGGCUCUUGCCACAGGAGGGGUCCGCGUUCGAUUAGCUAGUUGGUAGGGUAAUGGCCUACCAAGGCGACGAUCGAUAGCCGGCCUGAGAGGGUGAUCGGCCACACUGGAACUGAGACACGGUCCAGACUCCUACGGGAGGCAGCAGUGGGGAAUUUUGCGCAAUGGGCUAACGCCUGACGCAGCAACGCCGCGUGGAGGAUGAAGGUCUUUGGAUUGUAAACUCCUGUCAGCAGGGAAAAAGGGAGGGGACCUAAUACGUCCUUGACUUGAUUGUACCUGCAGAGGAAGCCCCGGCUAACUCUGUGCCAGCAGCCGCGGUAAUACAGAGGGGGCAAGCGUUAUUCGGAAUUAUUGGGCGUAAAGGGCGCGUAGGCGGCUUUUCAAGUGACGGGUGAAAUCCCUCGGCUUAACCGAGGAACUGCCUGUCAGACUGGAAGGCUUGAGACCGGGAGAGGUGAGUGGAAUUCCCAGUGUAGCGGUGAAAUGCGUAGAUAUUGGGAGGAACACCAGUGGCGAAGGCGGCUCACUGGACCGGAACUGACGCUGAGGCGCGAAAGCGUGGGGAGCAAACAGGAUUAGAUACCCUAGUAGUCC
This 789-nucleotide ribosomal RNA is filed under the name uncultured bacterium. Its description in RNAcentral is "bacterial SSU rRNA". It matches the Rfam family "Bacterial small subunit ribosomal RNA", at positions 8 to 796 of the family's 1533-position model. The record is from RNAcentral.